RNAcentral lists this ribosomal RNA (266 nucleotides) under uncultured delta proteobacterium. RNAcentral's name for it is "partial 16S ribosomal RNA". It matches the Rfam family "Bacterial small subunit ribosomal RNA", at positions 264 to 523 of the family's 1533-position model. Lineage: Bacteria; Deltaproteobacteria. The record is from RNAcentral.
CUUACCAAGGCAAGACGGGUAGCUGGUCUGAGAGGAUGAUCAGCCACACUGGUACUGGAACACGGACCAGACUCCUACGGGAGGCAGCAGUGGGGAAUCUUGGUCAAUGGGCGCAAGCCUGAACCAGCGACGCCGCGUGAGUGAUGAAGGCCUUCGGGUUGUAAAGCUCUGUGGGGAGGGACGAAAGAGUCCAAUCUAAUAGGUUGGAUAGUUGACGGUACCUCCUUAGCAAGCACCGGCUAACUCUGUGCCAGCAGCCGCGGUAA